RNAcentral lists this transfer RNA (556 nucleotides) under Neowestiellopsis sp. DII-PS. Its description in RNAcentral is "16S-23S ribosomal RNA intergenic spacer". The stretch from base 278 to 350 matches the Rfam family "tRNA". The record is from RNAcentral. Lineage: Bacteria; Bacillati; Cyanobacteriota; Cyanophyceae; Nostocales; Hapalosiphonaceae.
UUCAGGGAGACCUGCCCGCUCAAGUUACCGAGAACAAUGUAAAAGUUGGCAAGAGGUAAUGAGUUGGUCAUCCCAGGUCGGUCGUAGGAUAGUAAUAAGGCUUUCAAACUAUAGAAAGGUUCGUGAAAUGGGCUAUUAGCUCAGGUGGUUAGAGCGCACCCCUGAUAAGGGUGAGGUCCCUGGUUCGAGUCCAGGAUGGCCCACCUGAAAACAGUAAACAGUAAACAGUGGUCAGUAAAGAAAAAAACUGAUAGCUGGUAACUGAAAACUGAAUUAUGGGGGUUUAGCUCAGUUGGUAGAGCGCCUGCUUUGCAAGCAGGAUGUCAGGAGUUCGAGUCUCCUAACCUCCACCUUUAGAAGAAACAAAGGACAAAGUCUAGCACCUGAAAGCAAAAAAAUCAGACUGCUGGGUAUUGUUCCAGCCAGAACCUUGAAAACUGCAUAGAGAAGCGAAAGUAUGGUAGUCAGUAGUCAGUGAACAGUUACCAGGAAUCAAAGAUUGAUAGCUGGUAACAGAGAACUGAAGACUGAACAGACACGAAAGUGUAAAGAAGUG